UGAGGAAUUUUGCGCAAUGGCCGCAAGGCUGACGCAGCAACGCCGCGUGGGUGAUGAAGGCCUUCGGGUCGUAAAGCCCUGUCAGGUGGGAAGAAAGGCCUGGAGAGGGAAGGUUUCAGGUUUGACGGUACCACCAGAGGAAGCACCGGCUAACUCCGUGCCAGCAGCCGCGGUAAUACGGAGGGUGCGAGCGUUAUUCGGAAUUACUGGGCGUAAAGCGCGUGUAGGCGGGGGGACAAGUCUGAUGUGAAAGCCCUGGGCUUAGCCUGGGAAGUGCAUUGGAAACUGUUUUUCUUGAGUACUGGAGAGGAAGGGGGAAUUCCCGGUGUAGAGGUGAAAUUCGUAGAGAUCGGGAGGAAUACCAGUGGCGUAGGCGCCCUUCUGGACGGUAACUGACGCUGAGACCCGAAAGCGUGGGGAGCAAACAG
Molecule: ribosomal RNA, 428 nt
Filed under: uncultured bacterium
Lineage: Bacteria
Description: bacterial SSU rRNA
Rfam family: Bacterial small subunit ribosomal RNA
Source: RNAcentral